UACGUAGGUGGCAAGCGUUGUCCGGAAUUAUUGGGCGUAAAGCGCGCGCAGGCGGUCCUUCAAGUCUGAUGUGAAAGCCCACGGCUCAACCGUGGAGGGUCAUUGGAAACUGGGGGACUUGAGUACAGAAGAGAAGAGUGGAAUUCCACGUGUAGCGGUGAAAUGCGUAGAGAUGUGGAGGAACACCAGUGGCGAAGGCGACUCUUUGGUCUGUAACUGACGCUGAGGCGCGAAAGCGUGGGGAGCAAACAGG
This 253-nucleotide ribosomal RNA is filed under the name uncultured bacterium. RNAcentral's name for it is "partial 16S ribosomal RNA". It matches the Rfam family "Bacterial small subunit ribosomal RNA", at positions 524 to 776 of the family's 1533-position model. The record is from RNAcentral.